AGUGAACGCUGGCGGUAGGCCUAACACAUGCAAGUCGAACGGCAGCACAGUAAGAGCUUGCUCUUACGGGUGGCGAGUGGCGGACGGGUGAGGAAUACAUCGGAAUCUACUUUUUCUUGGGGGAUAACGUAGGGAAACUUACGCUAAUACCGCAUACGACCUACGGGUGAAAGCAGGGGAUCUUCGGACCUUGCGCGAUUGAAUGAGCCGAUGUCGGAUUAGCUAGUUGGCGGGGUAAAGGCCCACCAAGGCGACGAUCCGUAGCUGGUCUGAGAGGAUGAUCAGCCACACUGGAACUGAGACACGGUCCAGACUCCUACGGGAGGCAGCAGUGGGGAAUAUUGGACAAUGGGCGCAAGCCUGAUCCAGCCAUACCGCGUGAGUGAAGAAGGCCUUCGGGUUGUAAAGCCCUUUUGUUGGGAAAGAAAAGCAGCAGGUUAAUCCCCCGCUGUUCUGACGGUACCCAAAGAAUAAGCACCGGCUAACUUCGUG
Molecule: ribosomal RNA, 492 nt
Filed under: uncultured bacterium
Lineage: Bacteria
Description: partial 16S ribosomal RNA
Rfam family: Bacterial small subunit ribosomal RNA
Source: RNAcentral